AAGGUCGAGCAGGACCUUCCUUCCCUGAGUCCUACUCACAGCACCUCUGCGUCCCCGGGGCCCCUGAGACCACCACCUUCCCUGGGGGUGCGGAGCGGCAGGACUCCGGGCGGCGCAGGUAACGGCAUUCCAGCCAGUGGGAACAGCCGGGAUGAGGGCAUGAGCACAUCUGGGAGUCCACAGUCCCCAGAAGACUGAGGAGGUCGGAGGAGCUGAACCAGGCAGGGGACAGCUACAACAGAUACCACUGCAGCCUCAAUCAAGGAAGCAGUUUCUGGAAAGCGGCACCAUCUGGCUGGACUCCAACCCACAUCUUCUGGAAGAGCAGCCAGUGUUCCUGACCACUGAACCAUCUCUCCAGCUCCACACACAACAUUUCUAUAGUUCAGCUGGCUUUGAGUUUGUGGUAAGCCCCCUGCUUUAUCCUCCUGAGGGUUAGGAUGAUAAGCAUCCCAGCUGAAUAAUAUAAUUUGUAAUAAAAAAUUAUUGUGGGUUAUUACACAGUUAUGUCUCUGUUUUUUACAGCCAAUAGUGCUAAAGUGUAGAUAAACUACAAGACAAAUGGUAGCGAGGGCAAUAGUUAGCAUGAAGGUUUCCCUGGGAGAUUUUUCUAGAAGCUAUUUGGAUUGUUACUCAAAACUUCAAGAAAAUAUCACAAUAUUCAUCCUCCUUAGAGCCAUGGGUGAAUAGGGUUUAGCAACUAGAGAGACUUAAUUAAAUGAAUUAUCAACUCAGUUCACUUGUAUGGGAAACCAGAAUGGCUUCUUUCUUAUCUCUAGGAAAUGACUUCAAAGGCUUGAAAGAUGCACUUAUUUUUUCUUGAGUUAAGAAUCAGUUUUGUUUCUUAUACUGUAGCUUCUGCAUCUGGCUAUUUGAUAUGAUCCAGAUUUCAAUUGCUAACAAACUGAAAGAUACUGUUAAAUUAACUUAGAUAUACUGCCUUUUGUAAUGUAGAGAAAUAUUUUCUGCGAAGGUAACCCUUAAGUCAUGUCUAAGAAUGUUGUUUACUUUAUGAUCAACAUCACAGAAUCUUACAAUUCAAAUGGAAAAGCCAGCGUUCCCAGUAUCUCCCCACACCAGCUAGAACAGCUGGACAACAAUAUAGUGAUGUAGGCAUGCUGCAGUUGUUAAACAGACCAGAGAACAUCGCUAAACUUAGUGGCUAUCACCACUUACAACAAAAAUUUCCUUACACUUGUCUCCAAAUGUCCAAAUCAAAACUAUGACCAAACUCAAGCUAACCACUCAUUUCCAGCAGCAGUGAUGAAAGUCUGAAGUCUAUUCAUUCAUUCUUUGGCCCACAUGUCUGAUGAAUCUCACGAUGCCCGAGAUUAGUAGGGUUCACAUCUUACUUCCCAUCAGGGAUGCUAUUUGAAGCAGGGUGUGGUGCAGCAUGUCCAUAAUCUCUCCACUGGGGAGCUUGACAGUUUAACAACUACUAAGCUAGACUGCUCAGGAAGGGUUUCAUCUCAGAGGUGACACUUCUCUCUUGUCUUUAGACUUUUAACUCUGUCUUAGAUAUCUACGAAAAAUAUCCUUGGGGAAUAAAAGCUACACAAAGUUCAAGUCUUCUAAUUCCACUAUGGAAGCCCAAUGUGCAAUCUACUAAUCAUUUGAAUUUCAUUUGACGAUUCAAUGGAAAAACCAAUUUAUAUUUCAUUAUGAAUUAUUUUACUUUGGUAAGGAUAGAAACAAAAAACCCCCAAGAUUCUGACAUAUUUGCACAUACAUACUCCUUACAGGGGUAAACAGAUAUUUGGGAUGCAUUAUAAUAUUACGAGUGUAUUUUAUUGCUACAACAAUCACAAAUAAAACACCAACGCUGUGAUCAAAAGCCACAGUAACAGGGUUGCAGGUAGAUUUAACACACAUUGCUAUUUGAGCGUCCUCUACUUGGUUUUCUCUACAACAGCCCUCCUAGUGGACAUCCAGUCUAUGCAUGAACAUUCCUCCCUCUACCUGACCAGGUUUCUGGUUUUACUGGCAGAUAGUUAGUGGUGCAUGGGGAAGGUGAAGCUUGAAUUUAGAAGGGAUCCAGCCCAGAACCAAAUGAGGAUUAAAACAAAGCAUCGCAAGGAUACAUCUUGAAAAGUUUCAAGUGUCACUGGAAAGCCUCAGCGCUUUCCAUGUCAGCCAAUGAUACAUGUACACAAGUACAAAGCAGAAACAACCAUUCCCUGUGCCAACAGCACAGGCUCUCUUUGGUUUUGAGACUGAAUCUUGCUUUGUAGCUGUCUUAGUCCCCUUAGUGCUCAGAUUACAGGGGUGGGUCACCACACUCAGCUGGGACUAGGAUUCUGGAUAAGAAGCAAGAUUAAAACUGUAGUGUAUCUUCCCUGUACAUCUCUGGCAGCUACAGCUAAAGUUACAGACUGGCUUGAGUUGACCACGGCAAUUAGCAAGUCUGGGUAAAACCAAACAGACACAUUCCUCAGCGAUAAUACAACAGCCUGCCAGUCACACAACAAAUUUAAAGACCAUAAAAUUUAUCCCUGUCAUCUAACAUUUUUCAAUUUCUAUAGGUAGAAUUAAGUUACUCCUUUAAAAUCUGGGAAACACCCCUCAGGCAUUCCGCUUAGGUUUGAAAGGAAACCUAAAAACAACUUUGGUUUAACAACCUGAUACUUGCAUUUGAAAAUGCUACCAGUUGUCCCAGGGUAAUAGCUGGCAGGGCUGGUUGACAAGGGCAGGGCAGGGUCUGACCUAGCUGCAGUAUGUGCGCACACAUGUUCUUUGUAGUAUGCUGAGCUACAUACACCACCUCCCCGGGAAAUGGCAAGUUACCUGUUUAGCAGCUCAGGGGAAAACAUGUUUAAACAUGAGUUAAACUGUGAACAUUCACAUAUGCACCCAGUUCUCAUAUUUUAACAGUUUUCAGAUUUCUCUGCUGGGGUAUAUACCAUGGUCACAUUCUACCUACAUUCAUAUGAACCUUUUAAGAUAACAUUUCAUGGAAUUAAAUAACCUUACCAUCCAGAACUUUGUAUUAAUGAGUUAUUCACAUCUUAAAGCUGAAAAUAGGAGCAGCAUAUUUAUUUAUUUAUUUAUUUAUUUAUUUAUUUAUUUAUUUAUUUAUUUAUUUAUUUUGAGGCCAGGUUUAUUAUGUGUAGUCCUGGCUAUCCUGGAACUCACUGUAGACUAGGGUGGCACUGAACUCAGAGACACACCUUUCUCAGUCUCCUGAGUGCUGGAACUAAAGGUGUGUGCCACCACACCUGGCUUAUUUUAUUAUUUUUAUUAAAAAUUAAAACUGUUUCUCCAGCUCACAGUAGUGCAUCUGAAAAGAUAGGGCUUUCUAGGUCUAACACUUGAAUAUACAGCUCAACUCUUUUCAUUUUUAUGAUACAGGACUUCACUGUGCAGUCCAGGUCAGCUUCCUCCUCGCGGUUUGCCUGCCUCAGCCUUUGAAGUAACGGGAUUAGAAGUCUGCGCCCAUACUUUUUAAUAUCCCACAUAUAAAAGUUGUUUUAGAUGACAUGUCCCCACUAUUACCACAGCUACCUAACAAGGAAACACAUGACUGUCAGUCAAAAAUUAUAACAAGCAACUUAACAGUUGUUUCAAGUUUUCCUUCUGUGCAAACCACAGCCUUACUUUUCAUUUAUUUUUAUUAUUUUCAUUUGGCGAAUGAUUGUUGUACUUCCCAACAUGAUAUAGUGAUUCCCAAAACGACAGAAUAAUUAAAUAAAAAUGCAAAAUAAAUGUCUAAAUUGAACUAUUCAAAGUCCAGUCAACCAAAGAGGCUGUAUGCUAAAACUAAUCAAGCCAUAACAAACUAAAUUAGACAAGUGAUAAAAACUGGAAAUAUUCAUUUGGUUUUGGCCAGUUGCCUAUAUAUUUAUGAAUGUGCCUUUUCUCUCUUUCACGUGGUUUAGGGCCCAAAGAAAGUAACUCCCAGGCUUUACAUUGGCUGUAACAGUAGCAAAUUCAGGUAUAAAACAUAUUCAGCCAAUAGCUGCUGUGUGGAGACCCACAAGAGGUUUCCUAGUGAGAACUUACUCAGGGGUCAGAAGAUCUGGGAUUGCUUUACCCAGCAGGGCUGCAUGAGGAGAUGAUUUGGCCACGGGUAUGUUUACCAGGUGUUUGGAAGUGUGGUGUGCUUUGAUCUAGCAAGGGGGAGGUCUUUGCUCCUCUUCUUGGCAUGUUAUAAAAAGCCCUUUUCAAUAAAGGACGAGGCUGUUGGGUAUUGAUCCAGGCCUGCCUGCCCCCCCCCACCUUCCCCCACAGCUAUCCUGUGUUUCUGUCUUCUCAUCGUCUAGGUCUCUCUUUCUGAUAUUUCUUCAUUCCUCUCUCCUCCACCUAGGAACCCUUCAAAAAGUGGGAGCUGGACCCCCACACUGCUGGACACUCCCAACUGACUACCCUUGUACAGUUUUGUUUCUGAUGUCUUCUGACAUGCCUUCUUUUUAUAAAGGAACUAAAAAGAUGACAAAUAUUUUCAGAAUGUCAAACUCGCUUUAUUAGUGAUUAUCUUCCAUCUCUACUUGAGUACCUUUAAAUGACCUUAAGAGGAGUUCUCCAACUCAAAAAAUAUACAAAAAUUAUUUCAUACACAUUUUUAUAUCCUUGAAGUUAGGGUAAAUUGGGAUGUUUAACACUACUUUCCAGAAUAAUACCUGAAAGAGAUGACACCUUAGACAUGUUUAGUUACAUAGCAGAAUUCAUGUUUAAAGACCAAACUUAAGCCUGUCCUGUUACUCAGUGCCUGUUAGUUUAUGUAUAGGUAAAUUCUUCUACUGCUCACCAGGAGAAAGUUCCUAAGAUAUUAUCAUACUAGGGCUCAAUUUAAAAAAUACUACUUUAUUAUACUACUACUUUUUGUAAAUUUAAACUAAGAGAGGCUGCUACUUCAGGGCAGGACUCUUGCCUCCUCAUCUGUUUAACACCUUUACCUAGGCUCUUUAUUCACACUGUCAUAUUACCCUGAGACCAGCACUGUGAGGUUGCUGAUCUAAGUGUGAACUGCUAAGAUCUGAUGUUGUGAACACACAGAUUUUAAGAUGUCAUACAUAACAACUCAAAAGUUAACUCCAUCUCUUUCCUUUCCACAGGUGCCAUGCCAUCCAGACUGAGGAAGAUCCAGCAACUCUGUGGCUACGUGAGCCAGGGCCAUAGCCAAUAAGCAGGCAUCACAAGCACCCAGAAGGCCAAGGUAAUGAUGGAUGCAUGUGUCACCACAGGAUCAGCUUAGACAAAUGACAUCAUGUGACUUUGGUAAAGUUGGUCAGUGGUCUUACCACUUAAAGAGGAACCAGAGCUUAUGUCCACCUGCCACCCGUGGUAAACUGUGGAUCUUGUCAGUAAACAGACAUGAGUAAACGCUGCCCCCGUCACCAGUGUGGUAUGGAGUUCUGGGGAAGGAAAAGUCACCUAAGCAGCCCUCACUGUGAAGCCCAAAGUCUUCAGAAUAGCCAAAGAGAAGAUGAACUAAAUUGGUCACUUGUGUCCUGGUGGCUUUAAGCCACACAGGGAGCAAACAAACAACCAAGAGAGAUAACUCUAAUUCUAGGAGUCUAUCCUAAAACUAAUUAGAAAUACGAACACUUUUGAAAAUAUAUUUAUAUUGAUGCUGUUUAAAACAAUCAUCAGAAACAAUUAAAUAUUUAAACUAUGACAUACAAAUGACAGAACACCAUUUCAUUGAAAGUAUUUCUAAAUAGUAGCCAGGCAGUGGUGGUGCACACCUUUAAUCCCAGCACUUGGGAGGCAGUUAGGUGGAUCUCUGAGUACAAGGCCAGCCUGGUCUAUAGAGUUAGUUCCAGGACAGCCAGGGCUACAUAGAGAAACUGUCUUAACCCCUCUUCUCGUGAAAAAAAGUUUCCAGACACUUAUUAAUGAUAUGAAUGGGGGUUACUGUAUCAUGUCAAUGAGAAAAGACUCUUAAGUUAUAUGACUAUGAGUUAACUAUUGUUUAAAAAAAAAUACCAAAGAAAAACAGUAAAUAAAACGUCUUUUCUAGUUAAAAUUGAGAAAUUAUGUUCUUCUUUUAAUAUUUUUCUGAAUUUUUAUAGAUGUGUGGUAACAAAUUAUCUGUAUAACCAGAAAACAGCAAGAACUGCUUUACCAGUCUCUCCCACAUAAAUAAAACACUAAUCCUUAUAAUUAGAAAUCACUGCACAGUAGGUAAAAGUACC
Peromyscus californicus insignis is the source of this 6134-nucleotide long non-coding RNA. RefSeq lists it as uncharacterized. The transcript has 3 exons. The record is from RefSeq and is a predicted model, not a curated record. NCBI's taxonomy places the organism in Eukaryota, Metazoa, Chordata, Mammalia, Rodentia, Cricetidae.